CUUCUCUUUCCUGAGCCUCUUUAGAGCAGCACUUACAGGAUUGCCUCUGUAAAGCCUUAUUCCUGUCCCAGAAAAGGUGAAAUCCCUAAGGGCUCUGCCGUGUACUCCAGCCUUGUGACCCUUGCCUUCCAGGAACCAUGCAAGAAGCGCAGCCACCAGAAGUCCUUAAAACAGCAGGAAAGGUGGGCCUGUCCCCCUUUUGUGCAGCUACCUAUCUGCUGAGGAGCAUCUGGGCCUCAUUCCUCCAAGUCCACUGGAGGGUCCAGAAGAGGGAGUC
RNAcentral lists this small RNA (277 nucleotides) under Pan troglodytes (chimpanzee). RNAcentral describes it as "processed transcript". Lineage: Eukaryota; Metazoa; Chordata; Mammalia; Primates; Hominidae. The record is from RNAcentral.